GACGAACGCUGGCGGCGUGCUUAACACAUGCAAGUCGAACGGAAAGGCCCUGCUUUUGUGGGGUGCUCGAGUGGCGAACGGGUGAGUAACACGUGAGUAACCUGCCCUUGACUUUGGGAUAACUUCAGGAAACUGGGGCUAAUACCGGAUAGGAGCUCCUGCUGCAUGUUGGGGGUUGGAAAGUUUCGGCGGUUGGGGAUGGACUCGCGGCUUAUCAGCUUGUUGGUGGGGUAGUGGCUUACCAAGGCUUCGACGGGUAGCCGGCCUGAGAGGGUGACAGGCCACAUUGGGACUGAGAUACGGCCCAGACUCCUACGGGAGGCAUCAGUGGGGGAUAGUGCACGAUGGGCGGAAGCCUGAUGCAGCAACGCCGCGUGCGGGAUGACGGCCUUCGGGUUGUAAACCGCUUUCGCCUGUGACGAAGCGUGAGUGACGGUAAUGGGUAAAGAAGCACCGGCUAACUACGUG
This 468-nucleotide ribosomal RNA is filed under the name uncultured bacterium. RNAcentral describes it as "partial 16S ribosomal RNA". It matches the Rfam family "Bacterial small subunit ribosomal RNA", at positions 28 to 507 of the family's 1533-position model. The record is from RNAcentral.